CCCCCAGUAGUUCCAGCAUUGCUGGCAAUGAAAUCUAAAUAUUUUUGAUAAUCUGCAAAUGAAGGUCUAGUACUAGAUGAGGAUCCUUCAUCAAGAAAUCUAUUUUGAGUAGGAAUAUUCCCCAAUGUCUGGAAUCUGUUUGGAGUAAAUCCUCUGCCUCUCCCCGAAGAGGCUCUUGGCCAGCUUGGCCUGAUUCUGCAAAACUGG
Molecule: long non-coding RNA, 207 nt
Filed under: Nicotiana benthamiana
Lineage: Eukaryota; Viridiplantae; Streptophyta; Magnoliopsida; Solanales; Solanaceae
Description: long non-coding RNA (NBEN_LNC016738)
Source: RNAcentral